RNAcentral lists this long non-coding RNA (529 nucleotides) under Equus caballus (horse). RNAcentral's name for it is "lncRNA (ENSECAG00000056530.1)". Lineage: Eukaryota; Metazoa; Chordata; Mammalia; Perissodactyla; Equidae. The record is from RNAcentral.
GGGAGAUCCAGGGGAGGCCUUUAUCUGAAGAGCAGUUCGACCAUUAGCAAAGGAAACUUCCUUGUGCACCAGCAGCUCAGAUAACAAGCAAACCAGAAUCCUGGAUAUAAUUUGAUCUUCAUUAUGGAGAGGGCAGCGGAAUCAGAUAAUAGAAGUCCUGAAGAGUUUAAGUAACAGAGGAUCAACCUCGCGUUCCCCAUCCGGCCCUGCUCCCCAGCUGAGGUCACCUUACACUUCCUAGCUUGAGGCCUUUGCAGAAUCCAUACAAGCUGUGAAAUGAUUCCUUUCCAUGAAGCCCCGGAACAAAGCCGCUCGCUCUCCGCUUUCUGAAUCAUCAAAACUCAUUCAAGUUACAUAAACAAGCACAUGGACAAAGAAAACAGUUCAGUAGUUACCAGGGGAAGGGGAGUUGGGGGGGGGGGCACAGGAGGUGAAGGGGAGCACUCAUGUGAUGACAGACAAGAAAUAAUGUACAACUGAAAUUUCACAAUGAUGUAAACUACUAUGAACUCAAUAAAACAAAAACUCG